RNAcentral lists this small nucleolar RNA (126 nucleotides) under Xenopus laevis (African clawed frog). The record is from RNAcentral. Lineage: Eukaryota; Metazoa; Chordata; Amphibia; Anura; Pipidae.
UUUGAGGUCUAUCCCGAUGGGGCUUUGCUGUAAGUUCAUAUCGUUGGAAACGCCUCAUAGAGUAAACAUUGUAGUUUUGCAUUACCUGCUAAUUUCUUUAGUGGGGGUAAAAUCUGCAUAACACUA